GACGAACGCUGGCGGCGUGCUUAACACAUGCAAGUCGAACGGAAAGGCCCUGCUUUUGUGGGGUGCUCGAGUGGCGAACGUGUGAGUAACACGUGGGUAACCUGCCCUUGACUUUGGGAUAACUUCAGGAAACUGUGGCUAAUACCGGAUAGGAGCUCCUGCUGCAUGGUGGGGGUUGGAAAGUUUCGGCGGUUGGGGAUGGACUCGCGGCUUAUCUGCUUGUUGGUGGGUUAGUGGCUUACCAAGGCUUUGAUGGGUGGCCGGCCUGAGAGGGUGACCGGCCAAAUUGGGACUGAGAUACGGCCAGGACUCCUACGGGAGGCAGCAGUGGGGAAUAUUGCACAAGGGGCGGAAGCCGGAUGCAGCAACGCCGCGUGCGGGAUGACGGCCUUCGGGUUGAAAACCGCUUUCGCCUGUGACGAAGCGUGAGUGACGGUAAUGGGUAAAGAAGCACCGGCUAACUACGUG
RNAcentral lists this ribosomal RNA (468 nucleotides) under uncultured bacterium. Its description in RNAcentral is "partial 16S ribosomal RNA". It matches the Rfam family "Bacterial small subunit ribosomal RNA", at positions 28 to 507 of the family's 1533-position model. The record is from RNAcentral.